Molecule: non-coding RNA, 690 nt
Filed under: Lycosa sp.
Lineage: Eukaryota; Metazoa; Arthropoda; Arachnida; Araneae; Lycosidae
Source: RNAcentral
AAAUAAUAUAAAAGUUAAAGCAUAUUAAAUUAAUAUUGAAAUAUAAAAAUAAUUUUGUUUUAAAAAAAUCUAACCUUAUACAUUAUAAAAGAACAAUUAAUAAAAUAAUUGAUUAAAUUUAAGUGCCAGCAAUCGCGGUUAUACUUUAAAUUAAAUUAUAUUAACUAUAAUUAACAUUAAUACUUAAAUAUUUUAAUUAAUAUAAAGUAAAAUUUCAUUACAUAAAUAUACAAUUUUUCCUUUAAUAAAAAUUUUAAAUUUAAAAUAGGAUUAGAUACCCUAGUAUAUUAAAAACUCUUAAGGUAGUAAAAAUUUUACUUAAAACCUAUUUACAAUGGCGGCAUUUUAUCUUAUUAGAGGAACCUAUUUUAUAAUGGACAAUACACAUUAAAUUUCACUUAAAUUAAAAAUUUAUAUAUCGCCAUCUAAAAAACUAAUCUAAUAAUAAUAUUUUCAAUAAUAAAUAAAAAGUUAGGUCAAGGUGUAAUCGAUAUUAAAGCAGUAACGGGUUACAUUAAAAAAUAUUUAAGGAUAAAAAAAUGAAAAUUUUUUUUAAAAAAGGAUUUAAAAGUAUUAUUAAAAUAAUAUUUCAAUAUGGUUAAGAUAAUAAAUGUGCACAUAUCGCCCGUCACCCUUAUCAAAAGGUAAGGCAAGUCGUAACAUAGUUGAUAUUUUGGAAAAAGUAUCAAG